Long non-coding RNA from Sardina pilchardus (European sardine), 547 nucleotides. RefSeq lists it as uncharacterized. NCBI's taxonomy places the organism in Eukaryota, Metazoa, Chordata, Actinopteri, Clupeiformes, Clupeidae. The transcript is spliced from 3 exons. The record is from RefSeq and is a predicted model, not a curated record.
GUGGAUUAACCGGUGAGAAACAUGCAGAGAAAACGUUACAGCAUUUAUAAUCCCUUCCUUUCUCUGUUCCCAACAGGCAUACCGACGAGCCUAGAGAGAAAAACAUGCCCUACUACGCCAAGGCCGAGCUUACAGCACCAAAAUGAUGACCUUAAAUCAGCAUCACCAACAACCACAAGUGCUCUGCACCAAGACAGCAAAAGUCCAUGGUUCAGCGCCCCCAUGGUGGGUUUGGUAUCAAGAAGCUGUGAGCCCUUUUUUGGCCAAUCCAUGUAUCAAUCAGCAUGAACAGAAUUCAAGCCAGGCAUUUAUGAAUGUCUGGACAAGACGCAAGUGGGUGGACUUGAAAUAUAGUGGCUUGCUCUCCCCAUAGCCACACUCCCAACAUCUGUUCCCACAGAGGUCCUGUCCUUGUUGUUCCAAAAGAAAGAUCCUCAGACCCUACCUCUUUGUAGCAGAGCAACUCUGACUCCACAGAUGGAAUUUAGUGCACAUAUUGGUCGCAGCUAAAUCUACAACUCUGUGGCCUGUUUGUUUAUGUCCAGAU